This 1176-nucleotide ribosomal RNA is filed under the name uncultured Bifidobacterium sp. RNAcentral's name for it is "bacterial SSU rRNA". It matches the Rfam family "Bacterial small subunit ribosomal RNA", at positions 173 to 1357 of the family's 1533-position model. Lineage: Bacteria; Bacillati; Actinomycetota; Actinomycetes; Bifidobacteriales; Bifidobacteriaceae. The record is from RNAcentral.
UGCUCCAUCACACCGCAUGGUGUGUUGGGAAAGCCUUUGCGGCAUGGGAUGGGGUCGCGUCCUAUCAGCUUGAUGGCGGGGUAACGGCCCACCAUGGCUUCGACGGGUAGCCGGCCUGAGAGGGCGACCGGCCACAUUGGGACUGAGAUACGGCCCAGACUCCUACGGGAGGCAGCAGUGGGGAAUAUUGCACAAUGGGCGCAAGCCUGAUGCAGCGACGCCGCGUGAGGGAUGGAGGCCUUCGGGUUGUAAACCUCUUUUGUUAGGGAGCAAGGCAUUUUUGUGUUGAGUGUACCUUUCGAAUAAGCACCGGCUAACUACGUGCCAGCAGCCGCGGUAAUACGUAGGGCGCAAGCGUUAUCCGGAAUUAUUGGGCGUAAAGGGCUCGUAGGCGGUUCGUCGCGUCUGCUGUGAAAUCCCGAGGCUCAACCUCGGGCUUGCAGUGGGUACGGGCAGACUAGAGUGCGGUAGGGGGGAUUGGAAUUCCUGGUGUAGCGGUGGAAUGCGCAGAUAUCGGGAAGAACACCAAUGGCGAAGGCAGGUCUCUGGGCCGUUACUGACGCUGAGGAGCGAAAGCGUGGGGAGCGAACAGGAUUCGAUACCCUGGUAGUCCACGCCGUAAACGGUGGAUGCUGGAUGUGGGGCCCGUUCCACGGGUUCCGUGUCGGAGCUAACGCGUUAAGCAUCCCGCCUGGGGAGUACGGCCGCAAGGCUAAAACUCAAAGAAAUUGACGGGGGCCCGCACAAGCGGCGAAGCAUGCGGAUUAAUUCGAUGCAACGCGAAGAACCUUACCUGGGCUUGACAUGUUCCCGACGGCCGUAGAGAUAUGGCCUCCCUUCGGGGCGGGUUCACAGGUGGUGCAUGGUCGUCGUCAGCUCGUGUCGUGAGAUGUUGGGUUAAGUCCCGCAACGAGCGCAACCCUCGCCCUGUGUUGCCAGCACGUCGUGGUGGGAACUCACGGGGGACCGCCGGGGUCAACUCGGAGGAAGGUGGGGAUGACGUCAGAUCAUCAUGCCCCUUACGUCCAGGGCUUCACGCAUGCUACAAUGGCCGGUACAGCGGGAUGCGACAUGGCGACAUGGAGCGGAUCCCUGAAAACCGGUCUCAGUUCGGAUUGGAGUCUGCAACCCGACUCCAUGAAGGCGGAGUCGCUAGUAAUCGCGGAUCAGCAACGC